RNAcentral lists this non-coding RNA (29 nucleotides) under Rattus norvegicus (Norway rat). Lineage: Eukaryota; Metazoa; Chordata; Mammalia; Rodentia; Muridae. The record is from RNAcentral.
UCCAGAACAAUCAGUCCAUAGAAUCCUUC